GCGAGCGGACGCUUCGGUCGAUGCACUCUGCCCAUCGGAACAGAACUCGUUCCGCUUAGUGUUGCCCUUAGGCGCAGCCAUCGCGCUCUGCCUCAAACCCCAGAUUGAACAGCAACACGCGGCAAGGAUAAAGCUCGACAGAAAGAACCAAGUAUGGAAUGAAGAAAACUUAGGCCAAGACUCACCUCUCGAUAUUUGGCAGCAGGAAUUAACUUCUCUUCAUCUCCCUUUCUGGUGGUUGGUGUAUGAGAGAAGGAAUGAAGUGUCAGGCUGGUGCUUUAAUAAGUGAGUUGUUGGCUGUAAGGUUAAAGGAUUGGAGAUGGUGGUUGGCUGAGGGGAUGGUGCUGUCGUAGGGUGGCUGAAAAACUCUCUAGGUGGUACCUUGGCAUAGUUGAUCCAACUGUUGGCAGCUACUUCUUUGUGCACACACACACGUUUCAUUUUUCCUUUCUUCCCCUUUUUCUUCUUUCCUUUUUGUACUAGGUGAUGUAAUGAAAAAAAAAAAUCAUUUUGUCUUGGUAAAUUGUAUCUAUAAUUCCAA
Molecule: long non-coding RNA, 541 nt
Organism: Salvia miltiorrhiza (redroot sage)
Lineage: Eukaryota; Viridiplantae; Streptophyta; Magnoliopsida; Lamiales; Lamiaceae
Exons: 2
Source: RefSeq, a predicted model, not a curated record